Molecule: ribosomal RNA, 253 nt
Filed under: uncultured bacterium
Lineage: Bacteria
Description: partial 16S ribosomal RNA
Rfam family: Bacterial small subunit ribosomal RNA
Source: RNAcentral
UACGUAGGGGGCAAGCGUUGUCCGGAAUUACUGGGCGUAAAGGGCGCGUAGGCGGCGCUCCAAGUUAGGCGUGAAAGUCCUGGGCUCAACCUGGGAACUGCGCUUAAGACUGGAGUGCUUGAGGAUGGAAGAGGGUCGUGGAAUUCCCAGUGUAGAGGUGAAAUGCGUAGAGAUGUGGAGGAAUACCGAUGGCGAAGGCAGCCUCCUGGGCCAACACUGACGCUCAUGCACGAAAGCGUGGGGAGCAAACAGG